UGCCCGGUAGCUCAGUGGCAGAGCAGGUGACUGUUAAUCACUUGGUCGCUGGUUCGAAUCCAGCCCGGGCAGCCA
This 75-nucleotide transfer RNA is filed under the name Opitutia bacterium. RNAcentral describes it as "tRNA-Asn". It matches the Rfam family "tRNA". From Rfam's summary of the family: Transfer RNA (tRNA) molecules are approximately 80 nucleotides in length. RNAcentral also lists the same sequence under 1 other name. Lineage: Bacteria; Pseudomonadati; Verrucomicrobiota; Opitutia. The record is from RNAcentral.